Oncorhynchus mykiss (rainbow trout) is the source of this 2949-nucleotide long non-coding RNA. Lineage: Eukaryota; Metazoa; Chordata; Actinopteri; Salmoniformes; Salmonidae. The record is from Ensembl.
GAUAAGAAAGAGAGAGAGUCCACCAUCUCCCAGCCUGCCUCUCCCAGUCUCUUCCAGUCCACCAUCUCCCAGCCUGCCUCUCCCAGUCUCUUCCAGCCCAUCAUCUCCCAGCCUGCCUCUCCCAGUCUCUUCCAGCCCAUCAUCUCCCAGCCUGCCUCUCCAAGUCUCUUCCAGUCCACCAUCUCCCAGCCUGCCUCUCCCAGUCUUUUCCAGCCCAUCAUCUCCCAGCCUGCCUCUCCCAGUCCAUCAUCUCCCAACCUGCCUCUCCCAGUCUCUUCCAGUCCACCAUCUCCCAGCCUGCCUCUCCCAAUCUCUUCCAGCACCAUCUCCCAGCCUUCCUCUCCCAGUCUCUUCCAGCCCAUCAUCUCCCAGCCUGCCUCUCCAAGUCUCUUCCAGUCCACCAUCUCCCAGCCUGCCUCUCCCAGUCUUUUCCAGCCCAUCAUCUCCCAGCCUGCCUCUCCCAGUCCAUCAUCUCCCAACCUGCCUCUCCCAGUCUCUUCCAGUCCACCAUCUCCCAGCCUGCCUCUCCCAAUCUCUUCCAGCACCAUCUCCCAGCCUGCCUCUCCCAGUCUCUUUCAGCCUGCCUCUCCCAGUCUCUUCCAGCCUGACUCUCCCAGUCUCUUCCAGCCCAUCAUCUCCCAGCCUGCCUCUCCCAGUCUCUUCCAGUCCAUCAUCUCCCAGCCUGCCUCUCCCAGUCUCUUCCAGCCCAUCAUUUCCCAGCCUGCCUCUCCCAGUCUCUUCCAGCCUGCCUCUCCCAGUCUCUUCCAGCCUGCCUCUACCAGACUCUCCCAGUCCAUCAUCUCCCAGCCUGCCUCUCCCAGUCUCUUCCAGUCCACCAUCUCCCAGCCUGCCUCUCCCAGUCUCUUCCAGCCCAUCAUCUCCCAGCCUGCCUCUCCCAGUCCAUCAUCUCCCAGCCUGCCUCUCCCAGUCCAUCAUCUCCCAGCCUGCCUCUCCCAGUCCAUCAUCUCCCAGCCUGCCUCUUCCAGUCCACCAUCUCCCAGCCUGCCUCUCCCAGUCCAUCAUCUCCCAACCUGCCUCUCCCAGUCUCUUCCAGUCCACCAUCUCCCAGUCUGCCUCUCCCAAUCUCUUCCAGUCCACCAUCUCCCAGCCUUCCUCUCCCAGUCUCUUCCAGUCCAUCAUCUCCCAGCCUGCCUCUCCCAGUCUCUUCUAGCCCAUCAUUUCCCAGCCUGCCUCUCCCAGUCUCUCCCAGCCUGCCUCUCCCAGUCUCUUCCAGCCUGCCUCUCCCAGUCUCUCCCAGUCCAUCAUCUCCCAGCCUGCCUUUCCCAGUCUCUUCCAGUCCACCAUCUCUCAGCCUGCCUCUCCCAGUCUCUUCCAGUCCACCAUCUCCCAGCCUGCCUCUCCCAAUCUCUUCCAGUCCACCAUCUCCCAGCCUUCCUCUCCCAGUCUCUUCCAGCCCAUCAUCUCCCAGCCUGCCUCUCCCAGUCCAUCAUCUCCCAGCCUGCCUCUCCCAGUCCAUCAUCUCCCAGCCUGCCUCUCCCAGUCCAUCAUCUCCCAAAAUGCCUCUCCCAGUCUCUUCCAGUCCACCAUCUCCCAGCCUGCCUCUCCCAAUCUCUUCCAGUCCACCAUCUCCCAGCCUUCCUCUCCAAGUCUCUUCCAGUCCAUCAUCUCCCAGCCUGCCUCUCCCAGUCUCUUCCAGCCCAUCAUUUCCCAGCCUGCCUCUCCCAGUCUCUUCCAGCCUGCCUCUCCCAGUCUCUUCCAGCCUGCCUCUCCCAGUCUCUCCCAGUCCAUCAUCUCCCAGCCUGCCUCUCCCAGUCUCUUCCAGUCCACCAUCUCCCAGCCUGCCUCUCCCAGUCUCUUCCAGCACAUCAUCUCCCAGCCUGCCUCUCCAAGUCUCUUCCAGUCCACCAUCUCCCAGCCUGCCUCUCCCAGUCUCUUCCAGCCCAUCAUCUCCCAGCCUGCCUCUCCCAGUCCACCAUCUCCCAGCCUGCCUCUCCCAUUCUCUUCCAGUCCACCAUCUCCCAGCCUGCCUCUCCCAAUCUCUUCCAGUCCACCAUCUCCCAGCCUUCCUCUCCCAGUCUCUUCCAGUCCAUCAUCUCCCAGCCUGCCUCUCCCAAUCCAUCAUCUCCGAGCCUGCCUCUCCCAAUCUCUUCCAGUCCACCAUCUCCCAGCCUUCCUCUCCCAGUCUCUUCCAGCCCAUCAUCUCCCAGCCUGCCUCUCCCAAUCCAUCAUCUCCCAGCCUGCCUCUCCCAGUCCAUCAUCUCCCAUCCUUCCUCUUCCAGUCUCUUCCAGCCCAUCGUCUCCCAGCCUGCCUCUCCCAGUCCAUCAUCUCCCAGCCUUCCUCUCCCAGUCUCUUCCAGCCCAUCAUCUCCCAGCCUGCCUCUCCCAGUCUCUUCCAGUCCAUCAUCUCCCAGCCUGCCUCUCCCAGUCUCUUCCAGUCCAUCAUCUCCCAGCCUGCCUCUCCCAGUCUCUUCCAGUCCACCAUCUCCCAGCCUGCCUCUCCCAGUCUCUUCUAGUCCAUCAUCUCCCAGCCUGCCUCUCCCAGUCUCUUCCAGCCCAUCAUCUCCCAGCCUGCCUCUCCCAGUCUCUUCCAGUCCACCAUCUCCCAGCCUGCCUCUCCCAGUCUGUCCCAGUCUCUUCCAGUCCACCAUCUCCCAGCCUCCCUCUCCCAGUCUCUUCCAGCCUCCCUCUCCCAGUCUCUUCCAGCCUCCCUCUCCCAGUCUCUUCCAGCCUGCCUCUCCCAGUCUCUUCCAGUCCAUGAUCUCCCAGCCUGCCUCUCCCAGUCUCUUCCAGCCUGCCUCUCCCAGUCUCUUCCAGUCCACCAUCUCCCAGCCUUCCUCUCCCAGUCUCUUCCAGUCUCGCCCAGUCUCUUCCAGCCCAUCAUCUCCCAGCCUGCCUCUCCCAGUCUCUUCCAGUGUCUCCCAGUCUCCUCCAGCCCAUCAUCUCCCAGCCUGCCUCUCCCAGUCUCUUCCAGUCCACCAUCUGACCUAA